UGCAGAAUCCCGCGAACCAUCGAGUCUUUGAACGCAAGUUGCGCCCGAGGCCAUCUGGCCGAGGGCACGCCUGCCUGGGCGUCACGCCAAACACGCUCCCACCCCACUAAACAUGGGGCGGGAUGCGGCAUGUGGCUCUCCGUCUCGCAAGGGGCGGUGGGCCGAAGAUCCGGCUGCCGGCGUAUCGUGCCGGACACAGCGCGUGGUAGGCGAUCUCGCUAUACUAAACGCAGUGCAUUCGGGACGUAGCCGACGCAAUGCCCUCAAUGGACCCUAUUAACGGAGCGCACGACACUUCGACCGCGACCCCAGGUCAGGCGGGACUACCCGCUGAAUUUAAGCAUAUAAAUAAGCGGAGGAGAAGAAACUUACAAGGAUUCCCCUAGUAACGGCGAGCGAACCGGGAACAGCCCAGCUUGAGAAUCGGGCGGCUGUGCCGUCCGA
Molecule: ribosomal RNA, 444 nt
Filed under: Festuca filiformis
Lineage: Eukaryota; Viridiplantae; Streptophyta; Magnoliopsida; Poales; Poaceae
Also listed under: 2 other names
Description: eukaryotic LSU rRNA
Rfam family: Eukaryotic large subunit ribosomal RNA (bases 304-444)
Source: RNAcentral